Molecule: ribosomal RNA, 269 nt
Filed under: uncultured bacterium
Lineage: Bacteria
Description: partial 16S ribosomal RNA
Rfam family: Bacterial small subunit ribosomal RNA
Source: RNAcentral
UAGGGAAUCUUCCACAAUGGACGAAAGUCUGAUGGAGCAACGCCGCGUGAGUGAUGAAGGGUUUCGGCUCGUAAAACUCUGUUGUUGGAGAAGAACGGGUGUCAGAGUAACUGUUGACAUCGUGACGGUAUCCAACCAGAAAGCCACGGCUAACUACGUGCCAGCAGCCGCGGUAAUACGUAGGUGGCAAGCGUUGUCCGGAUUUAUUGGGCGUAAAGCGAGCGCAGGCGGUUUUUUAGGUCUGAUGUGAAAAGCCUUCGGCUUAACCG